UUCCAAACUAUCACAGAAGAGGAAGGCUCUUAUUGUCUCACUGCACCCCAAAAGAUGCAUAACCUACAAAAUCCAUUUCUGUCUGGUUUUGAACCAGAGACCUUUGGCGUGUAAAGCAAACGUGAUAACCACUACACUACAGGAACUGAACUUGUCUGCUUUGUUUAAGUUUGAGGUUCUAAAGUUGAUGAUGUGAGAUGCAACAUGAAAAUUUCAACUGAAGUUUGCACUCAGAUGCCUGGAUUCUGAGU
This is a long non-coding RNA of Poecilia latipinna (sailfin molly), 251 nucleotides long. RefSeq lists it as uncharacterized. The transcript is spliced from 3 exons. The record is from RefSeq and is a predicted model, not a curated record. NCBI's taxonomy places the organism in Eukaryota, Metazoa, Chordata, Actinopteri, Cyprinodontiformes, Poeciliidae.